RNAcentral lists this ribosomal RNA (630 nucleotides) under uncultured bacterium. RNAcentral describes it as "bacterial SSU rRNA". It matches the Rfam family "Bacterial small subunit ribosomal RNA", at positions 8 to 649 of the family's 1533-position model. The record is from RNAcentral.
AGAGUUUGAUCAUGGCUCAGAACGAACGCUGGCGGCGCGUUUUAAGCAUGCAAGUCGGACGGCAAGCACUGUAGCAAUAUGGUGCCGAGAGUGGCGAACGGGUGAGUAACACGUAGGUGAUCUACCUCUGGAUGGGGGAUAGCCCGUGGAAACACGGGGUAAUACCGCAUGAGGCCCUUGGUGUAAAGGCCGAGGGUGAAAGGUGCAAUUGCACCGUCUGGGGAUGAGCCUGCGGUCCAUUAGUUAGUUGGCGGGGUAAAGGCCCACCAAGACUCCGAUGGAUAGCCGGUCUGAGAGGAUGGCCGGCCACACUGGGACUGAGACACGGCCCAGACUCCUACGGGAGGCAGCAGUAGGGAAUCUUGCGCAAUGGGCGAAAGCCUGACGCAGCCAUGCCGCGUGAAUGAUGAAGGUCUUAGGAUUGUAAAAUUCUUUCAGCGGGGAAGAUAAUGACGGUACCCGCAGAAGAAGCCCCGGCUAACUUCGUGCCAGCAGCCGCGGUAAUACGAAGGGGGCUAGCGUUGCUCGGAAUUACUGGGCGUAAAGGGCGCGUANGCGGACGUUUAAGUCANAGGUGAAAUCCCAGGGCUCAACCCUGGAAUUGCCUUUGAUACUGGAUGUCUUGAGUAC